UGGGUAGUGCUCAUCUCUCAUACGUGCUAGAGAUUUACCAGCUUAUGACUGGCAGUGAAGAAAACCAAUAAGCGAUUUUUGUGUUUGUGAUUAUCUGAAGAAAGAAAGGAAAAUCGGGGCAGCUAGGGUUUAGGUUUUGUUGGCAUACGUUUAACUAAACUACAAUAUACAAUACACCCGCAGACCGUACACUGUUGAAAAAGCUUCUGAUGAGGGAGAAGAAGAGAACUUUGAUAGAGAUGCAACGUGCAGCUUGUUUGUACUUUAAUCGAUUCCUCACCAGAGCCAAU
Molecule: long non-coding RNA, 290 nt
Filed under: Vigna radiata
Lineage: Eukaryota; Viridiplantae; Streptophyta; Magnoliopsida; Fabales; Fabaceae
Description: long non-coding RNA (VRAD_LNC002437)
Source: RNAcentral